RNAcentral lists this ribosomal RNA (564 nucleotides) under Triticum aestivum (bread wheat). RNAcentral describes it as "partial small subunit ribosomal RNA". Lineage: Eukaryota; Viridiplantae; Streptophyta; Magnoliopsida; Poales; Poaceae. The record is from RNAcentral.
AUGUCUAGCCCGGCCCAUGUUGCAACCCCCACCCCACGCAGCCCACCUACUGCUACAGAGAGAACAUCUGCUCCCCAGCCCACUGGGCCUCUUGCCAAUGCUGCUGAUGCUGCUAUUUCGCCCACCACCAUGCUGGAUCCGCCUCUCCACCCCGUGUCAUCCUCUGCUGCGCCGUUCCUCACUGCCAUUUGCGCUGAGAUCCAGCCUCCACUCAUCGCCUCCCCUCCGGCGACUCGUACGCUGCCGCAGCCGGCGGCCACCCCGGCCAGAUGCACCAGUCGCCGUCUCGCUGGGCAGCCUGCCGCCGGCCUCUCCACCAUCGAGCGGGCCCGCAGCGUGCUCCGUAAGAAGUGGGGAAUCGCCGGCGACCUCGACGACAAAGCCACCGAGGAGGCCAUGAUGCAGAACUUCAUCGACAUGUUCAAGGAGCCGCUCAGCGCUGACGAGAUUGAGGCGGUCAAGGCCCUCUUCUCGUCGGUCCAGCUGACCAAGGGGAGGCCAAGCUCCAAGGGCCGCCCAGCCGCCGUUCGCCGGCUGCGCGACCGGCACGGUUCUGCCGCUUAG